UACGAAGGGUGCAAGCGUUAGUCGGAAUUACUGGGCGUAAAGCGUGCGUAGGUGGUCUCUUAAGUCCGUUGUGAAAGCCCUGGGCUCAACCUGGGAACUGCAGUGGAUACUGAGAAGCUAGAGUGUGUCAGAGGAUGGUGGAAUUCCCGGUGUAGCGGUGAAAUGCGUAGAGAUCGGGGAGGAACAUCAGUGGCGAAGGCGGCCAUCUGGGGACAACACUGACGCUGAGGCACGAAAGCGUGGGGAGCAAACAGG
This 255-nucleotide ribosomal RNA is filed under the name uncultured bacterium. RNAcentral describes it as "partial 16S ribosomal RNA". It matches the Rfam family "Bacterial small subunit ribosomal RNA", at positions 524 to 776 of the family's 1533-position model. The record is from RNAcentral.